This 201-nucleotide ribosomal RNA is filed under the name Bacillus subtilis. RNAcentral's name for it is "partial 16S ribosomal RNA". It matches the Rfam family "Bacterial small subunit ribosomal RNA", at positions 53 to 244 of the family's 1533-position model. The record is from RNAcentral. Lineage: Bacteria; Bacillati; Bacillota; Bacilli; Caryophanales; Bacillaceae.
ACAUGCAAGUCGAGCGGACAGAUGGGAGCUUGCUCCCUGAUGUUAGCGGCGGACGGGUGAGUAACACGUGGGUAACCUGCCUGUAAGACUGGGAUAACUCCGGGAAACCGGGGCUAAUACCGGAUGCUUGUUUGAACCGCACGGUUCAAACAUAAAAGGUGGCUUCGGCUACCACUUACAGAUGGACCCGCGGCGCAUUAG